This 21-nucleotide non-coding RNA is filed under the name Caenorhabditis elegans. Lineage: Eukaryota; Metazoa; Nematoda; Chromadorea; Rhabditida; Rhabditidae. The record is from RNAcentral.
UCCUUCAGCCCCCAUUGAGUC